GCAAACUUGGUCAUUUAGAGGAAGUAAAAGUCGUAACAAGGUCUCCGUUGGUGAACCAGCGGAGGGAUCAUUACAGAGUUGCAAAGCUCAAACCAUUGUGAACGUUACCUCUACCGUUGCUUCGGCGGGCGGCCUGGGUCUCCGGACCCGGCGCCCCUGGGCCCCGCCUCGCGGGGCGCCCGCCGGAGGUAAACCAAACUCUUGAAUUGUAUGGCCUCUCUGAGUCUUCUGUACUGAAUAAGUCAAAACUUUCAACAACGGAUCUCUUGGUUCUGGCAUCGAUGAAGAACGCAGC
RNAcentral lists this unclassified non-coding RNA (295 nucleotides) under uncultured fungus. RNAcentral's name for it is "partial contains small subunit ribosomal RNA, internal transcribed spacer 1, and 5.8S ribosomal RNA". The stretch from base 1 to 73 matches the Rfam family "Eukaryotic small subunit ribosomal RNA", at positions 1759 to 1831 of the family's 1831-position model. Lineage: Eukaryota; Fungi. The record is from RNAcentral.